Long non-coding RNA from Carassius auratus (goldfish), 376 nucleotides. RefSeq lists it as uncharacterized. Lineage: Eukaryota; Metazoa; Chordata; Actinopteri; Cypriniformes; Cyprinidae. The record is from RefSeq and is a predicted model, not a curated record. The transcript has 3 exons.
AAGAGGCAGAGCACAAAAAGCUGGAACUGAUGAAGGACAUAAAGGAACAGCAAACUCGUCUCCUGCACUACACCAAACAACUGCAGCAGCAACAGACGCAGCUAGACAACAUACACUCAGAGACACACAAAUGGGAACUGAAACGAGAAGAAUUGCGUUCCACUGCGGAGAGAGAGGAGCUCCAGUACGCUCAGAUAAAGGUCAGGAUUCGUCAAUUUAUCAACUGAUCGCACCUUACUGGAGAGAGUCUGUGGAUAUUGAAGACCCCUUCAAGCAGCUGCAACUGAUCCGGAAACAUUUUCAGCUUGGUGAGAGCUAUAUCUGAAGAUCGAAAUGUGAUGAAAAGUCCUGGCAGGUGGAACUGAAGAGAAACGAC